UGAGGCUUGAUCCUGGCCUUUCUAUCGACUGUUUUCCGAUUUACACAUGCAAGUAUCCGCACAACCGUGAGAAUGCCCUCAAACCUCUGCCAGACUGAGGAGCCGGUAUCAGGCACAGACCCCUUGCCCACAACACCUAGUCUUACCACACCCCCAAGGGUAAUUCAGCAGUGAUAAAUAUUGUGCAUAAGCGACAGCUUGACUCAAUCAGGAAUGACCAGAGCUGGCCAAUACGGUGCCAGCCGCCGCGGCUAUACCGCUAAGCUCAAGUUGAUAGUUUUCGGCGUUAAGCGUGGUUAAAGAUUUUUUUAACUAGAGUUAAACGGAAAUUUAGCUGUUAUAAGCUUAUUAACAGGAAACCUAAAAACGAAAGUUACUCUAUUAUUUCUUGAACCCACGACAGUUAGGACACAAACUGGGAUUAGAUACCCCACUAUGCCUAACCGUAAAAAAUUUAUUUACACCCCCAACGCCAGGGUAUUACAAGCUAAGCUUCAAACCCAAAGGAUUUGACGGUGUCCCAUCCAUCUAGAGGAGCCUGUCCUAUAACCGAUGAUCCACGUUUUACCUCACCGCCUCUUGCUCUCAGCCUGUAUACCUCCGUCGCAAGCUUACCAUGUGAAUGACAUAGUACGCUUAAUGAUCUUUUCAUCAACACGUCAGGUCAAGGUGCAGCUUAUGAAGCGGGCAGAGAUGGGCUACAAUUUCUAACAUAGAACAAACGGAACAGCUAGAUGAAAUCUGCUGUGAAGGUGGAUUUAGUAGUAAAAAGAAAUUAGAAUGUUUUUUUUAAUUUGGCUCUGGGACGUGUACACACCGCCCGUCACCCUCUUCAAUAGCUUUACCUCAAGUUUAUAACUAACUUUUCGCGCCUUAGAAGAGGCAAGUCGUAACAUGGUAAGUGUACUGGAAAGUGCACUUGGAUAAA
This 928-nucleotide non-coding RNA is filed under the name Phrynobatrachus keniensis (Kenya river frog). Its description in RNAcentral is "12S ribosomal RNA". It matches the Rfam family "Bacterial small subunit ribosomal RNA". The record is from RNAcentral. Lineage: Eukaryota; Metazoa; Chordata; Amphibia; Anura; Phrynobatrachidae.